Molecule: long non-coding RNA, 361 nt
Organism: Pleuronectes platessa (European plaice)
Lineage: Eukaryota; Metazoa; Chordata; Actinopteri; Pleuronectiformes; Pleuronectidae
Exons: 3
Source: RefSeq, a predicted model, not a curated record
CCUCGGUACUGGUUUGGCACAAGACUUCCCGAGCAGGACAUGUAAACCACAAAAUUUAGCGAGUAUCCAGGCUUUGCUUCUUGUGAGAUUAAUCGAAGAUGAUGGUCUUAAAAUGGUUUUACCACAAGAAAGCUUCUCCUACAAGGAUUAUACCUGUUGUCCUCCCCCCCGAGGCCUCACACUGCCAGUCUGAGGAGUAAAAUGAUAGAUCCUGAAGCUUUACCACAGAUCAUGGGGAGACAAGACAGACUCCUGAGCUCAUCCUCACCUGAUGAAGGGUCUUGAGAUGGCGAGGACGGUGCGGAUGAACCACGUGGGGUGAGCGAUGAUGAGACACUUCAGAUUCUUCCUCAGUCUGCAG